CAGGUGGCCUGACAGUCCACAACAAGCAGGAUAUCAUGGUCAUUCCUAAAAAACACAAAUGGGGUUGAUUGAUUUUGCUUAAUUAAUCAUCCUGCUACCAAAAAAUUACCUCUGCUUGCCAUAUAUUCUCCNNNNNNNNNUCUCUUCUGCAUUAAUAAAAUGGAAUGAAGUUUUUGUACUUCCCUCUGUUUCAGAACCUAGACUAGCUACAAAUUAUCCCCUCUGCUACUAAAAACUUAGCUCUUCU
This 247-nucleotide unclassified non-coding RNA is filed under the name Hevea brasiliensis (rubber tree). Lineage: Eukaryota; Viridiplantae; Streptophyta; Magnoliopsida; Malpighiales; Euphorbiaceae. The record is from RNAcentral.